GACGAACGCUGGCGGCGUGCCUAAUACAUGCAAGUCGAGCGAAUGACGAGAAGUUUGCUUCUCUGAUUAGCGGCGGACGGGUGAGUAACACGUGGGCAACCUGCCCUACAGAUUGGGAUAACUCAGGGAAACAUGGGCUAAUCCCGGAUAAUCCUUCGAAUCACAUGUUUUGAAGUUGAAAGGUGCUCCGGCGUCACUGUAGGAUGGGCCCGCGGUGCAUUAGCUAGUUGGUGGGGUAACGGCCUACCAAGGCAACGAUGCAUAGCCGACCUGAGAGGGUGAUCGGCCACAUUGGGACUGAGACACGGCCCAAACUCCUACGGGGGGCAGCAGUAGGGAAUCUUCCACAAUGGACGAAAGUCUGAUGGAGCAACGCCGCGUGAGUGAUGAAGGUUUUCGGAUCGUAAAACUCUGUUGUAAGGGAAGAACAAGUACGUUAGGAAAUGAACGUACCUUGACGGUACCUUAUUAGAAAGCCACGGCUAACUACGUGCCAGCAGCCGCCGUAA
This 509-nucleotide ribosomal RNA is filed under the name uncultured bacterium. RNAcentral describes it as "partial 16S ribosomal RNA". It matches the Rfam family "Bacterial small subunit ribosomal RNA", at positions 28 to 523 of the family's 1533-position model. The record is from RNAcentral.